UGGGGAAUAUUGGGCAAUGGGGGGAACCCUGACCCAGCAACGCCGCGUGGAGGAAGAAGGUUUUCGGAUCGUAAACUCCUGUCCUUGGAGACGAGUAGAAGACGGUAUCCAAGGAGGAAGCCCCGGCUAACUACGUGCCAGCAGCCGCGGUAAUACGUAGGGGGCAAGCGUUGUCCGGAAUAAUUGGGCGUAAAGGGCGCGUAGGCGGCUCGGUAAGUCUGGAGUGAAAGUCCUGCUUUUAAGGUGGGAAUUGCUUUGGAUACUGUCGGGCUUGAGUGCAGGAGAGGUUAGUGGAAUUCCCAGUGUAGCGGUGAAAUGCGUAGAGAUUGGGAGGAACACCCAGUGGCGAAGGCGACUAACUGGACUGUAACUGACGCUGAGGCGCGAAAGUGUGGGGAGCAAACAGGAUUAGAUACCCUGGUAGUCCACACUGUAAACGAUGAAUGCUAGGUGUAGGGGGUAUCGACCCCUUCUGUGCCGCAGUCAACACAAUAAGCAUUCCGCCUGGGGAGUACGGCCGCAAGGUUGAAACUCAAAGGAAUUGACGGGGGCCCGCACAAGCAGCGGAGCAUGUGGUUUAAUUCGACGCAACGCGAAGAACCUUACCAGGUCUUGACAUCCACUUAAACUUACAGAGAUGUAAGGUGUGCUUGCACAAAGUGAGACAGGUGGUGCAUGGUUGUCGUCAGCUCGUGUCGUGAGAUGUUGGGUUAAGUCCCGCAACGAGCGCAACCCUUAUCUUCAGUUACUAACGCGUGAGGGUGAGGACUCUGAAGAGACUGCCGGGGACAACUCGGAGGAAGGUGGGGACGACGUCAAAUCAUCAUGCCCCUUAUGACCUGGGCUACACACGUGCUACAAUGGCCACGACAGAGAGAAGCGAAAUCGUAAGGUAGAGCGAAACUCAAAAAAGUGGUCCCAGUUCGGAUUGUGGGCUGCAACCCGCCCACAUGAAGUCGGAGUUGCUAGUAAUCGCGGAUCAGCAUGCCGCGGUGAAUACGUUCCC
RNAcentral lists this ribosomal RNA (1006 nucleotides) under uncultured bacterium. RNAcentral describes it as "bacterial SSU rRNA". It matches the Rfam family "Bacterial small subunit ribosomal RNA", at positions 355 to 1375 of the family's 1533-position model. The record is from RNAcentral.